RNAcentral lists this long non-coding RNA (283 nucleotides) under Nicotiana tabacum (common tobacco). Its description in RNAcentral is "long non-coding RNA (NTAB_LNC019518)". Lineage: Eukaryota; Viridiplantae; Streptophyta; Magnoliopsida; Solanales; Solanaceae. The record is from RNAcentral.
AAUUCUUUCCUUCAGUCAGCAUUAGGGUUUUAAACCCUAAACUGAACUUUUCCCUUUAGUUGCAUUAGGGUUUUAAACCCUAAACUGAACUUUUUCCUUUAGUUAGCAUUAGGGUUUUAAACCCUAAACUGAACUUUUCCCUUUAGUUUAGUCAGAAUUAGGGUUUCAAACCCUAAACUGAACUUUUUCCAUUUAGUCAGCAUUAGGGUUUUAAACCCUAAACUGAACUCUUUCCUUUAGUCAGCAUUAGGGCCCCAACCCUAAACUGAACUUUUCCCCAGUU